UGCAACCUACCUUCAACUGGGGGAUAGCCUUCCGAAAGGAAGAUUAAUACCGCAUAAAAUAAUUGAACGGCAUCGUUUAAUUAUCAAACGUCAGGGUUGAAGAUGGGCAUGCGUCCGAUUAGUUUGUUGGUGAGGUAACGGCUCACCAAGACUACGAUCGGUAGGGGAUCUGAGAGGAUGACCCCCCACACUGGUACUGAGACACGGACCAGACUCCUACGGGAGGCAGCAGUAAGGAAUAUUGGUCAAUGGACGCAAGUCUGAACCAGCCAUGCCGCGUGCAGGAAGACGGUCCUCUGGAUUGUAAACUGCUUUUGUUAGGGAAGAAACCCCUGGAUGCGUCCGGGGCUGACGGUACCUAAAGAAUAAGGAUCGGCUAACUCCGUGCCAGCAGCCGCGGUAAUACGGAGGAUCCAAGCGUUAUCCGGAUUUAUUGGGUUUAAAGGGUGCGUAGGCGGCGUUGUAAGUCAGUGGUGAAAGUUUGCAGCUUAACUGUAAAAUUGCCAUUGAUACUGCAGUGCUUGAGUACAGAUGAGGUGGGCGGAAUGUGUCAUGUAGCGGUGAAAUGCAUAGAUAUGACACAGAACACCGAUUGCGAAGGCAGCUCACUAAACUGUAACUGACGCUGAGGCACGAAAGCGUGGGGAUCAAACAGGAUUAGAUACCCUGGUAGUCCACGCCCUAAACGAUGAUUACUCGAUGUUAGCGAUAUACAGUUAGCGUCAAAGCGAAAGCGUUAAGUAAUCCACCCUGGGGAGUACGCCGGCAACGGUGAAACUCAAAGGAAUUGACGGGGGCCCGCACAAGCGGAGGAGCAUGUGGGUUUAAUUCGAUGAUACGCGAGGAACCUUACCCGGGCUUGAAAGUUAGUGAAUGAUUCAGAAUGAGUCAGUCCGCAAGGACACGAAACUAGGUGCUGCAUGGCUGUCGUCAGCUCGUGCCGUGGAGGUGUUGGGUUAA
This 960-nucleotide ribosomal RNA is filed under the name uncultured bacterium. RNAcentral describes it as "bacterial SSU rRNA". It matches the Rfam family "Bacterial small subunit ribosomal RNA", at positions 120 to 1083 of the family's 1533-position model. The record is from RNAcentral.